AUCUUUGCGCUUGGGGCAAUGACGCAGCUAGUGAGGUAUAACCGAGGCGCGUCAAUUGCUGGUUGAAAACUAUUUCCAAACCCCCUCCUUGGCCUAGGUUCAGCCUUGUGCCAUCGAGAAUUUCUGGAAGGGGCCCCUCC
Molecule: small nuclear RNA, 140 nt
Filed under: Amborella trichopoda
Lineage: Eukaryota; Viridiplantae; Streptophyta; Magnoliopsida; Amborellales; Amborellaceae
Description: U4 spliceosomal RNA
Rfam family: U4 spliceosomal RNA
About the family: U4 small nuclear RNA (U4 snRNA) is a component of the major U2-dependent spliceosome. The structure of U4 snRNA from yeast and human has been reported.
Source: Rfam by way of RNAcentral